GAAAGAUGGCUGAGCUGGUCUAAGGCGCACGACUGGAAAUCGUGUGUACGUUAAUAGCGUACCGAGGGUUCGAAUCCCUCUCUUUCC
RNAcentral lists this transfer RNA (87 nucleotides) under Ruminococcus champanellensis. It matches the Rfam family "tRNA". Rfam says of the family: Transfer RNA (tRNA) molecules are approximately 80 nucleotides in length. Their secondary structure includes four short double-helical elements and three loops (D, anti-codon, and T loops). RNAcentral also lists the same sequence under 1 other name. Lineage: Bacteria; Bacillati; Bacillota; Clostridia; Eubacteriales; Oscillospiraceae. The record is from RNAcentral.